UACGGGGGGAGCAAGCGUUGUUCGGAUUUACUGGGCGUAAAGGGCGCGUAGGCGGCCAGCACAAGUCAGUUGUGAAAUCUCCGGGCUUAACUCGGAAAGGUCAACUGAUACUGCGGGGCUAGAGUGCGGAAGGGGCAACUGGAAUUCUCGGUGUAGCGGUGAAAUGCGUAGAUAUCGAGAGGAACACCUGCGGCGAAGGCGGGUUGCUGGGCCGACACUGACGCUGAGGCGCGAAAGCCAGGGGAGCGAACGGG
RNAcentral lists this ribosomal RNA (254 nucleotides) under uncultured bacterium. RNAcentral describes it as "partial 16S ribosomal RNA". It matches the Rfam family "Bacterial small subunit ribosomal RNA", at positions 524 to 776 of the family's 1533-position model. The record is from RNAcentral.